CGACCGCUGGCGGCAUGCCUACCACAUGCAAGUCGACCGAGACCUUCGGGUCUAGUGGCGCACGGGUGCGUAACGCGUGGGAACCUGCCCUUAGGUUCGGAAUAACUCCCCGAAAGGGGUGCUAAUACCGGAUAAUGUCUUCGGACCAAAGAUUUAUCGCCUUUGGAUGGGCCCGCGUUGGAUUAGCUAGUUGGUAGGGUAAAAGCCUACCAAGGCGACGAUCCAUAGCUGGUCUGAGAGGAUGAUCAGCCACACUGGGACUGAGACACGGCCCAGACUCCUACGGGAGGCAGCAGUGGGGAAUAUUGGACAAUGGGCGAAAGCCUGAUCCAGCAAUGCCGCGUGAGUGAUGAAGGCCUUAGGGUUGUAAAGCUCUUUUACCCGGGAUGAUAAUGACAGUACCGGGAGAAUAAGCUCCGGCUAACUCCGUG
RNAcentral lists this ribosomal RNA (431 nucleotides) under uncultured bacterium. RNAcentral describes it as "partial 16S ribosomal RNA". It matches the Rfam family "Bacterial small subunit ribosomal RNA", at positions 30 to 507 of the family's 1533-position model. The record is from RNAcentral.